GUGCUGGCUUUGGCAGCGUGUAUGCUGAAAAAGUGGAACAAUACAGAGAAGAUUAGCUGGCCCCUGGAUGACAUGGAGACUUGUGAAGCGUUCCAUGUUUUU
Small nuclear RNA from Ursus americanus (American black bear), 102 nucleotides. The record is from Ensembl. NCBI's taxonomy places the organism in Eukaryota, Metazoa, Chordata, Mammalia, Carnivora, Ursidae.